GAUGAACGCUAGCGGCAGGCUUAACACAUGCAAGUCGAGGGGUAUAGGGAGGCUUGCUUCCUAGAGACCGGCGCACGGGUGCGUAACGCGUAUGCAAUCUACCUUUUGCAGAGGGAUAGCCCAGAGAAAUUUGGAUUAAUACCUCAUAGUAUGUGAGGAUGGCAUCAUUUUCACAUUAAAGUCACAACGGCAAAAGAUGAGCAUGCGUCCCAUUAGCUAGUUGGUAAGGUAACGGCUUACCAAGGCUACGAUGGGUAGGGGUCCUGAGAGGGAGAUCCCCCACACUGGUACUGAGACACGGACCAGACUCCUACGGGGAGGCAGCAGUGAGGAAUAUUGGACAAUGGGCGCAAG
This 354-nucleotide ribosomal RNA is filed under the name uncultured bacterium. RNAcentral's name for it is "bacterial SSU rRNA". It matches the Rfam family "Bacterial small subunit ribosomal RNA", at positions 28 to 381 of the family's 1533-position model. The record is from RNAcentral.